UUACAAUUACCAUGAGCAAAUCAGAGUGUUUAAAGCAGGCUCAAUGGCUUGAAUGUGUUAGCAUGGAAUAAUGAAAUAUGGCUUGGGUCCUUAUUUCGUUGGUUUAUACGACCUUUGCAAUGAUAAAUAGGAACGGUGGGGGGAUUUGUUUGG
Molecule: ribosomal RNA, 153 nt
Filed under: Apophysomyces elegans
Lineage: Eukaryota; Fungi; Mucoromycota; Mucoromycetes; Mucorales; Mucoraceae
Description: partial small subunit ribosomal RNA
Rfam family: Eukaryotic small subunit ribosomal RNA
Source: RNAcentral